CAUAUAACAUAAAAGUUUAGCAAAACGAAAUUUGUAUCCACCUCUCAAAAAAAAAAUCUGUAUCCACCGAUGUCCUCCCACCUCCGGCGAUUCGCCCCAAGCUCAGCCCCGAUCUGCCACCUCGCCGCUCCCCUUUCCCCUUCACCGCCGUCCGCCCCGUCACCAAGUCUUUGCCAGAGAUCUGCUCGGUAACGAAAUCUGCUCCGAUCACUGCUGCAAUACGUCUCGGUGAUAACAUCGCCACUCCCGUUUCCCCUCCACCGCCAUCCGCCACCGUCGUCUCCGUCUGCCCUGUCACCAAGUCGCCGCCAGCGAUCUGCGCCUCUCCAUGGCUGAACUCAAUAAGGAAUGGUGAAGGGGUUAGGCUAAAUCUUACCUUUUGAGCAGCUGAAACCAUGGCCAACAUCAUUCCCAUUAGUUAAUGGCAUUCAUGGUGAUUCUUCUAAGAUAAAGUUCAGUAUCGGUAUCCGCUCCUUUUCGUCUGCUGGUACACCUCUUUUCACUUAACUUGAUCUUACUAUUCAAAAUUUUAUCUGACACUCUGUACAAUUAAAGUAGAAACCAAUGGAAUUAUGUGGUUCAACGACUAAUAUUUUGGACUGUAAGUGUCAUUUAAUUCUAUGCGCACGUGGUUUUCUCUUUAAGUGGUAUCUUGAGCUAUGCGGUUCAUUUUCUCUAAAGUAAGCCUACUUUCUCUUUUAAGGUCUCAAUGCAUUAUUUGUCUUCAUAAAACAGUGGUGCUACGUUACGUUAUUAUUUUUGAUCUUUUUUGAUGAUUUAGUUGAUUUUUUUUUAUUGCUUAUACUUUUGAUGUGUGAUAAUCAUUAGGAAAUUGAGUAAAAAUGCAAUUACAUUGAUAAUCAACGGAAGUCGGCUUACUACUUAAUUGCAGCCUUCGUUGGCGAGAAAUUGUUUCCUCUCGCCUUUUAUUACCUGCAGAAGCUUCUCCAGCUGCAACUCAACCUUCUCUGGGGCCCCGAUCGCGUCCGCAAAGCUUGCCAUCUGUUCGGUGUGUGCAUUGUCCUCUUGGUUGGUUGUUGUUUUUGCUAAUGUACCGUGGCUCGAGUUUUAUAUGUUGUUUGUGCUUUGUUAUUAGCUGUAAACUUUUGAUUUUUUGUUGUUUUUUUAGUUUUCCCGAUGUGAUCAGUCGUUAGUUGCGUAUUUUAAUUCAUUUUAAUGUGUGUUGUGGUGUUAUAUCGGGUUAUGGAAAUCUAACGUUAUCAGGAA
Long non-coding RNA from Salvia miltiorrhiza (redroot sage), 1227 nucleotides. RefSeq lists it as uncharacterized. The record is from RefSeq and is a predicted model, not a curated record. The transcript has 4 exons. Lineage: Eukaryota; Viridiplantae; Streptophyta; Magnoliopsida; Lamiales; Lamiaceae.